CCUACGGGGGGCAGCAGUAGGGAAUCUUCCACAAUGGACGAAAGUCUGAUGGAGCAACGCCGCGUGAGUGAAGAAGGGUUUCGGCUCGUAAAGCUCUGUUGGUAGUGAAGAAAGAUAGAGGUAGUAACUGGCCUUUAUUUGACGAUAAUUACUUAGAAAGUCACGGCUAACUACAUGCCAGAAGCCGCGGUAAUACGUAGGUGGCAAGCGGUGUCCGGAUUUAUGGGGCUGAAAGCGAGUGCAGGCGGCUCAGUAAGUCUGAUGGUAAAGCCUUGGGCUCAACCGGAGAAUUGCAUCAGAAACUGUUGAACUUGAGUGCAGAAGAGGAGAGUGGAACUCCAUGUGUAGCGGUGGAAUGCGUAGAUAUAUGGAAGAACACCAGUGGCGAAGGCGGCUUUCUGGUCUGCAACUGACGCUGAGGCUCGAAAGCAUGGGUAGCGAACAGGAUUAGAUACCCUGGUAGUC
This 465-nucleotide ribosomal RNA is filed under the name uncultured bacterium. RNAcentral's name for it is "partial 16S ribosomal RNA". It matches the Rfam family "Bacterial small subunit ribosomal RNA", at positions 338 to 795 of the family's 1533-position model. The record is from RNAcentral.